AAAACAACAUUUUUGAGCAUUUUUGUACGUGUCUUCUGAUGAAUACACAACUUGCAUCUCUUGAGGAGGGAGAUUUCUGAAUCAUAAUGUAGGCUUUUGUUUAGCACAACAGCCCACCAGUUUUUCUUUGCAUUUCGUAAGGCAAGUUGCACCAUUCUUGUCCCAGAUUGGAGGCCAACUUUUCUUCAGCAAUGUGGCAGGGUGGCCUGUACUAUGGGUGUAUUAGCCUGUUCUCAUGCUGCUAACAAAGACAUACCUGAGACUGGGUAAUUUAUAAAGGAAAGAGGUUUAAUUGACUCACAGCUCCACAUGGCUGGGGAUUCUCACAAUCAUGGCGGAAGGCAAAUGAGGAGCAAAGUCAUGUCUUACAUGGCAGCAGGCAAGAGGCCAUGUGCAGGGGAACUCCCCUUUAUAAAACCAUUGGAUCUCAUGAGACUUAUUGACUAUCACAAGAAUGGUGUGGGAAAGAGCCACCCCCAUGAUUCAAUUACCUCCCACUGGGUCCUUCCCAUGACACAUGGGAAUUAUGGGAGCUACAAUUUAAGAUGAGAUUUGGGUGGGGACACAGCCAAACCAUAUCAGUGGGCAAGUUCAAUAAGCAAUGAAUGCUUAAGUACCCACCAGAGCACUGAAGCCACAGAGGUAGGAGGACCAAGAAUAGGCAUCUUGGCUGGUGACACUCAGACGUCAAGAUCCAAAUCUACAGUUUCUAUAGAGGAAAGCUUCCACUGGCAGCCAGGCCCCUGCCUUCAGGGAUGCCUCAGGCCCUGAGAGUUCACCUCUUUCUCCUGGCAAUGUCAAGUUCCACAUUUCUGAGCCAGGCAGAGGAAAUUAUUUGUGAAUUUAUGACAGAGAAAAUAUUCUUUAAACAGAAUCUUCCCUGAUUAUUGGAGCAAAUUUGGCUGCUAGGAACUGCUUCUCCCUAUUAGCUCAUUGGGAACAGAGGGGAGAGCCUCUCACUCUGCUUAACCCCCUAUGGCUCUGUUCCUUGCCAGAGAAGGGGCCCAAUAAAUGCUUGACAAGUUAAAUGGAAAUGAUUUUUCCCCUUUUAAAUGUCUCCUCACUAUGGCAUGUCAUUUAUACAGGACGAAGCUUUUAUUACAUUCAUCCUCUUUCCUCCUACCUAAUCCUCUUGUCUUUCAUCCUCCAUCCACCUGUCCUAUUGCAUUUGGGACUCAACAUGUGACAUGGAAUAAUAGUGGUUAAAGCAUUAGUUUAAGGGCCAAAAUGCCCAUGUUCAAACCCUGUUCUGCCCCAUAAUAGCCACUAGAUCUUUAUCAAAUAACUGUACUAUAUCACAAUUUUUUGUGUAAAUAAAUAAGUUAAUAUAUAUAGAAGUGCUUAGAAUUAUGCUGGGUUAAGGCCUACAUAAGUGUUACCAAAUAUUAUGUGAGAACCUACAGGGGAAAAAAAAGAAGGGAACCUCUGUUUAGCCAGAGUUCCUCCUCUAUAGAGGUCUUCUACUCUGAAAACAUCACCCUUAAUUAUUCCCAAAACAGUCUGCAAUAGUGAAGGAUACCAACCAGUAAUCCCUCAUGUCUAAUUAUACCCUUAAAACUUGCAAGCACCUUAUAUUCAGAAUAUAUUUGAAUGCUUACAGAAACCUUUUGAAAAAGAAGAAGAGGUAGUAUCCCUAUUUUGCAGGAACUAAAGUUCUUGGGCUUUCUAUCAUGCAACCAUCUAAUCACUCAUUCACCCAUUCACUGAUAUAGAGAUUGUGUUAAGCCCCUCCCAAUCCCAGUCCCCAUCCCCCGCACACUGUGUGCUACACCCAGUUCUCCUGCCUGGUCAGCCAGAGCCCAGGUCUUCUAAUAGCCAUCCUGCUCUAGUCCUACCCACCAGACCCCAGCCCUCUGUGAGCUUUUAUUCGACUACUCACUUCUCCAUCUCUCUUUUCUACCUCUUCCUCAUCCAGACUUUCAUCACCUGAACAUCACAUUCACUGCAUUUAAGUUGAAUGGCUUCCUAACUUAAUAACUUACAUAAAAAUUAUGCAUUUUAUUGUAUACUAUGUGUUUAAUAUUUAGCAGAAAGAAUAACAGAUAGAAAAAAUGAAAGAGUAAAUGAAAAUACAGAUAUACAAUAAAUGAAAAAGAGAGUCUAUAUUUUACCACUCUGGAUAAUUGCUAUAUCUCUAGAGCAGAUAUGUAUAUGUGUAUGUAUAAAUUUUAACAAAAUUGGUAUUGGAAUACACAUAACAUUUUAAAACAUACUUGUAAACUUUAAUAUCUAUCUUUCCAUGUCAAUACAUAUUUAUCAACCAAAUCAAUUUUAAUUGACUGGACAAUGUUGCACAGUAUAGAUAUCCAUUGCUUAAUUUGACCUGUUAUUGAACAGUAGGUUAUUUCCUUUUAUAGAAAUGUUUUGCUAGUAUAAACAAUGCUAAGAUAAACAUCCUUGUAUAUACUUUUAUGUUCAUAUCCUUAAUGAUGUACUUUAAAUAAAUUCUAACUGGUGACACUGCAGUCUUAUUUUUAACACUUUUGAUAGCUUUUGUAACACUGUCCUUCAGAAAGACUAUGCUAGUAAAAGGGUACCCACCACAUGCCAGCACUAGUAAGUAUUAUGUAAAACAAAUAAAAAUAAAAACUAG
This 2593-nucleotide long non-coding RNA is filed under the name Homo sapiens (human). RNAcentral's name for it is "long non-coding RNA NONHSAT190315". Lineage: Eukaryota; Metazoa; Chordata; Mammalia; Primates; Hominidae. The record is from RNAcentral.